This 253-nucleotide ribosomal RNA is filed under the name uncultured bacterium. RNAcentral describes it as "partial 16S ribosomal RNA". It matches the Rfam family "Bacterial small subunit ribosomal RNA", at positions 524 to 776 of the family's 1533-position model. The record is from RNAcentral.
UACGUAGGGUGCGAGCGUUGUCCGGAAUUAUUGGGCGUAAAGAGCUCGUAGGCGGUGUGUCGCGUCGGCCGUGAAAACCCGCAGCUCAACUGUGGGCUUGCAGCUGAUACGGGCGGGCUGGGAUUCGGUAGGGGAGACUGGAAUUCCUGGUGUAGCGGUGAAAUGCGCAGAUAUCAGGAGGAACACCGGUGGCGAAGGCGGGUCUCUGGGCCGAUAUCGACGCUGAGGAGCGAAAGCGUGGGGAGCGAACAGG